Molecule: ribosomal RNA, 253 nt
Filed under: uncultured bacterium
Lineage: Bacteria
Description: partial 16S ribosomal RNA
Rfam family: Bacterial small subunit ribosomal RNA
Source: RNAcentral
UACGAAGGGGGCUAGCGUUGCUCGGAAUCACUGGGCGUAAAGGGUGCGUAGGCGGGUCUUUAAGUCGAGGGUGAAAUCCUGGAGCUCAACUCCAGAACUGCCUUUGAUACUGAGGAUCUUGAGUUCGGGAGAGGUGAGUGGAACUGCGAGUGUAGAGGUGAAAUUCGUAGAUAUUCGCAAGAACACCAGUGGCGAAGGCGGCUCACUGGCCCGAUACUGACGCUGAGGCACGAAAGCGUGGGGAGCAAACAGG